UACGUAGGGUGCGAGCGUUAAUCGGAAUUACUGGGCGUAAAGUGUGCGCAGGCGGCAAGGCAAGUCGAGUGUGAAAGCCCCGGGCUUAACUUGGGAAUUGCGCUCGAAACUACUUUGCUGGAGUGUGGCAGAGGAAGGUGGAAUUCCACGUGUAGCGGUGAAAUGCGUAGAGAUGUGGAGGAACACCGGUGGCGAAGGCGGCAUCCUGGACCGGCAUUGACGCUGAGGAGCGAAAGCCAGGGGAGCAAACGGG
Molecule: ribosomal RNA, 253 nt
Filed under: uncultured bacterium
Lineage: Bacteria
Description: partial 16S ribosomal RNA
Rfam family: Bacterial small subunit ribosomal RNA
Source: RNAcentral